This 73-nucleotide transfer RNA is filed under the name Paramuricea clavata. It matches the Rfam family "tRNA". Rfam says of the family: Transfer RNA (tRNA) molecules are approximately 80 nucleotides in length. Their secondary structure includes four short double-helical elements and three loops (D, anti-codon, and T loops). Further hydrogen bonds mediate the characteristic L-shaped molecular structure. tRNAs have two regions of fundamental functional importance: the anti-codon, which is responsible for specific mRNA codon recognition, and the 3' end, to which the tRNAs corresponding amino acid is attached (by aminoacyl-tRNA synthetases). tRNAs cope with the degeneracy of the genetic code in two manners: having more than one tRNA (with a specific anti-codon) for a particular amino acid; and 'wobble' base-pairing, i.e. permitting non-standard base-pairing at the 3rd anti-codon position. The record is from Rfam by way of RNAcentral. Lineage: Eukaryota; Metazoa; Cnidaria; Anthozoa; Malacalcyonacea; Plexauridae.
GACCGCGUAGCUCAGUUGGAAGAGCAUUGGGCUAGUAUUCCAAAGGUUGUAGGUUCGAAUCCUGCCGUGGCCA